GAUGAACGCUGGCGGCGUGCCUAAUACAUGCAAGUAGAACGCUGAAGGAGGAGCUUGCUCUUCUGGAUGAGUUGCGAACGGGUGAGUAACGCGUAGGUAACCUGCCUGGUAGCGGGGGAUAACUAUUGGAAACGAUAGCUAAUACCGCAUGACAACAGUUAUUGCAUGAUAACUGUUUAAAAGGGGCAACUGCUCCACUACCAGAUGGACCUGCGUUGUAUUAGCUAGUUGGUGAGGUAACGGCUCACCAAGGCGACGAUACAUAGCCGACCUGAGAGGGUGAUCGGCCACACUGGGACUGAGACACGGCCCAGACUCCUACGGGAGGCAGCAGUAGGGAAUCUUCGGCAAUGGACGGAAGUCUGACCGAGCAACGCCGCGUGAGUGAAGAAGAUUUUCGGAUCGUAAAGCUCUGUUGUAAGAGAAGAACGAGUGUGAGAGUGGAAAGUUCACACUGUGACGGUAUCUUACCAGAAAGGGACGGCUAACUACGUG
RNAcentral lists this ribosomal RNA (495 nucleotides) under uncultured bacterium. RNAcentral describes it as "partial 16S ribosomal RNA". It matches the Rfam family "Bacterial small subunit ribosomal RNA", at positions 28 to 507 of the family's 1533-position model. The record is from RNAcentral.